GACAGAGGGUGCAAGCGUUGUCCGGAAUUAUUGGGCGUAAAGAGCUCGUAGGCGGUCUGUCGCGUCGGACGUGAAAAUCCAGGGCUCAACCCUGGACCUGCGUUCGAUACGGGCAGACUAGAGUUCGGUAGGGGAGACUGGAAUUCCUGGUGUAGCGGUGAAAUGCGCAGAUAUCAGGAGGAACACCGAUGGCGAAGGCAGGUCUCUGGGCAUUAACUGACGCUGAGGAGCGAAAGCAUGGGGAGCGAACAGG
Molecule: ribosomal RNA, 253 nt
Filed under: uncultured bacterium
Lineage: Bacteria
Description: partial 16S ribosomal RNA
Rfam family: Bacterial small subunit ribosomal RNA
Source: RNAcentral